This 546-nucleotide long non-coding RNA is filed under the name Cricetulus griseus (Chinese hamster). RNAcentral's name for it is "lncRNA (ENSCGRG00015043310.1)". The record is from RNAcentral. Lineage: Eukaryota; Metazoa; Chordata; Mammalia; Rodentia; Cricetidae.
GAGGCACUCAAGUAGAGCAGCCAGGAGCAGGUUACACUGUGGACCUUAGAGUCCACAAACAAGAGUCCAAACCCUAUAAUGAGCAGAGCUGCCGCCCUGGCUUUCAUGGCCACACAGAAGAUGGAAACAAGCCCAGCCCGAGAUGCAGUAUCUGCCCAGAUGAGCGGCUGCCCUGUCUGCAGGGCCCUUCCAGCCCCAGCUGGUACCUCUCUAUGUCUUCUGUUCUAUGGACUUGGUGAGCCUCGGAGGGCCUGCCUGCAGGAGAUGAUUUGAGGACCAACUUCCAUCAGUCUUGCUGGGAAAACUUAGACUCACACUCUGGCAGCUGUCAGCACUGCUCCUUUGCCCUGCUGAGUUGUCCAUCUGUCCCUCUGCCUGCUGUUGCAAAUGAAGCUGUCAUUUCUAAGGUCAGUCGGGAGCCGACUGGGUCCUGGGUGGAGAAACUUGAGAAGCAGGUGUCCCUUCACUCAUCCCCUGGAAUGCUCCUGCCUCCCCCACUUGCUCCCACCUGCUUUUGCUGCCUCUUGCUGCCCUGGACAAUCCUGG